This 499-nucleotide ribosomal RNA is filed under the name uncultured bacterium. RNAcentral's name for it is "partial 16S ribosomal RNA". It matches the Rfam family "Bacterial small subunit ribosomal RNA", at positions 28 to 507 of the family's 1533-position model. The record is from RNAcentral.
GACGAACGCUGGCGGCGUGCCUAAUACAUGCAAGUCGAGCGAAGUUUUUCUGGUGCUUGCACCGGAAAAACUUAGCGGCGAACGGGUGAGUAACACGUAAAGAACCUGCCUCAUAGACUGGGACAACUAUUGGAAACGAUAGCUAAUACCGGAUAACAGCAUUAACUGCAUGGUUGAUGUUUAAAAGUUGGUUUUGCUAACACUAUGAGAUGGCUUUGCGGUGCAUUAGCUAGUUGGUGGGGUAAAGGCCUACCAAGGCGACGAUGCAUAGCCGACCUGAGAGAGUGAUCGGCCACACUGGGACUGAGACACGGCCCAGACUCCUACGGGAGGGAGCAGUAGGGAAUCUUCCGCAAUGGGCGAAAGCCUGACGGAGCAACGCCGCGUGAGUGAAGAAGGAUUUCGGUUCGUAAAGCUCUGUUGUUAGGGAAGAAUGAUUGUGUAGUAACGAUACACAGUAGAGACGGUACCUAACCAGAAAGCCACGGCUAACUACGUG